CAAUAGCGUAUAUUAAAGUUGUUGCAGUUAGAACGCUCGUAGUCGGAUUUCGGGGCGGGCCGACCGGUCUGCCGAUGGGUAUGCACUGGUCGGCGCGUCCUUCCUUCCGGAGACCGUCCCUACUCUUAACUGAGCGGGGGCGGGAGACGGGACUUUUACUUUGAAAAAAUCAGAGUGUUUCAAGCAGGCAGCUCGCUCUUGCAUGGAUUAGCAUGGGAUAAUGAAAUAGGACUUUGGUGCUAUUUUGUUGGUUUCGAACACCGAAGUAAUGAUUAAAAGGGACAGUCAGGGGCACUCGUAUUCCGCCGAGAGAGGUGAAAUUCUCAGACCAGCGGAAGACGAACUACUGCGAAAGCAUUUGCCAGGGAUGUUUUCACUGA
Molecule: ribosomal RNA, 380 nt
Filed under: uncultured eukaryote
Lineage: Eukaryota
Description: partial 18S ribosomal RNA
Rfam family: Eukaryotic small subunit ribosomal RNA
Source: RNAcentral